This 233-nucleotide unclassified non-coding RNA is filed under the name uncultured fungus. Its description in RNAcentral is "sequence contains ITS1". Lineage: Eukaryota; Fungi. The record is from RNAcentral.
GUAUAUGAUUGCGUUGGAGCAACAUCAAGACAUUCUGAAGACAUGCAUAAGAGUAUAUGGAAUGAUACAUGAGAAUCCCCUCCCCCCCCCCAGGGGGAGGGAGGGUUUCCCCACAAAGAGUUCACUGGUGUAAGUGGAUUAAGAGCUCGGGCGUGCACAUGCCCCCCGAGGGGCCAGCGACAACCUCCGCUUAUAAUUCGAUAAUGAUCCUUCCGCAGGUUCACCUACGGAAA